AUUUAGCUAGUCAAAACAAGCAAAGCGUAACUUAAGUUUGCUUUCCCGAAACUAAGUGAGCUACUUUGAAACAGCCUUACGGGCCAACUCGUCUCUGUUGCAAAAGAGUGAGAAGAUUUUUAAGUAGAAGUGAAAAGCCUAUCGAACUUAGAGAUAGCUGGUUAUUUGGGAAAAGAAUAUUAGUUCUGCCUUAAGCCAAACAACACAGUUUAAAGUAACUUAAGAGUUAUUCAAAUAAGGUACAGCCUAUUUGAUACAGGAAACAACCUAGAGAGUAGGGUAACGUCAUUUAAAACGUAAUUAAGUUGGCCUAAAAGCAGCCAUCUUUUAAAAAGCGUCAAAGCUUAAUUAUUUAAUAAUACUAAUUUCAACAAAAAUACAAAACCCACAUUUAAUACCAAAUAACUUUAUAUAAUUAUAAAAGAUAUUAUGCUAAAACUAGUAAUAAGAAAAAGACUUUCUCCUAAAUAUAAGUGUAACGCAGAAUAAACAAAUUACUGCUAAUUACUGUUCAUGACUCAAUAGUAGUAACCUCACUAGAAAACCCUACUAAUUAUAACAUUAAUCUAACACAAGAGUAUUAC
Molecule: ribosomal RNA, 584 nt
Filed under: Heterixalus punctatus
Lineage: Eukaryota; Metazoa; Chordata; Amphibia; Anura; Hyperoliidae
Description: partial 16S ribosomal RNA
Rfam family: Bacterial large subunit ribosomal RNA (bases 1-482)
Source: RNAcentral